This 517-nucleotide ribosomal RNA is filed under the name uncultured bacterium. RNAcentral's name for it is "bacterial SSU rRNA". It matches the Rfam family "Bacterial small subunit ribosomal RNA", at positions 12 to 518 of the family's 1533-position model. The record is from RNAcentral.
UUCGAUUCUGGCUCAGGAUGAACGCUAGCUACAGGCUUAACACAUGCAAGUCGAGGGGUAACAGGAGAGAAGCUUGCUUUCUGCUGACGACCGGCGCACGGGUGAGUAACGCGUAUCCAACCUUCCCCAUAGUAGAGGAUAGCCCGGCGAAAGUCGGAUUAAUACUCUAUGUUGUACAACGAGGACAUCUGAAUUGUACCAAAGAUUUAUCGCUAUGGGAUGGGGGAUGCGUCUGAUUAGCUUGUCGGCGGGGUAACGGCCCACCGAGGCAACGAUCAGUAGGGGUUCUGAGAGGAAGGUCCCCCACAUUGGUACUGAGACACGGACCAAACUCCUACGGGAGGCAGCAGUGAGGAAUAUUGGUCAAUGGGCGCGAGCCUGAACCAGCCAAGUAGCCGUGCAGGACGACUGCCCUAUGGGUUGUAAACUGCUUUUAUGCGGGAAUAAAGUUCGCCACGUGUGGUGUUUUGUAUGUACCGUAUGAAUAAGGACCGGCUAAUUCCGUGCCAGCCGCCGC